GAGAUAUGGGGCAACAUCAAAUGGCCAACUCGUCUUUGGAAGAUUCAAUACUCCAGAAAAUGGAGAAAACUUGUUGGGAAGUGUUGAAUUUGGUUCCUCUGAGGUAUAUGAAAAUGGAGAAUUGGCUAAAAGCAGAUUUUGGAUUGUUCCUGAUGCACGAUACCUGAUGGUUGCCAGUAACAUUGAGGUUAGUUCGUUUCUGUUCUUUUUACAAAAAAAUUGCAAAAGAAGAGUUGAGAAUCUCAACCAUGGUUCGGCUUUCUGGUUGCAGUUCGCAGAGACAUCAGAGAACUGUCUACACCCAAGAAAAUUAGGUUGCCUUGCUGCAAAGAACAAGGUUGUGACUGGACUGAGGGCUUCAAGUUCUGAUGUCUACGUUCAGAACAACGCAUAUAGAGAGUUCUUAUGGCACACUUUCCAUGUCUCAACCGUAGACACCACCAGCCACGCUGUCGCAUUGGUACGUAAUUAAUUAGUAAUCACCAUAAUUUUGUGUAUAAAAACCAUUUGUUUUGUAUAAUCAAGUUGAGCUUAAUUGGGUUAUUAUGAUAUAUUUAUAGGGAGCUAUGUCGAGCAACUUGAGGUUCAUAUCGUUCCGGGGAGUGUCGAACACCGCAGGAGCUUCAGAAGAGAGCAACAGUGCAUUGGCAAACGCAAAUCUUGUGAAAGCAGUUUUCCGCUUCAUCUAUCUGGAUAACAAGCUCCGUUAUGAUGAAGAGUGAAAGACUCUGUGCAUGUUUGUGUCUAAUUAACUAGUACUAAUGUAUUAUAUCCUUGAGUUGCUGUUAAUGAGGAAGCCGGAAUGUAUGUACUCAAAAUGGAGUGUCUGUACUUUAAUGCUCCUUUACCAUAAAUAAAUUUGAGUCUUUUAUGUACUUAAUGCUCCUUCGGCAUAAAUAAAAUGAGUCUUUUAUCUAUUUUUAUUGUAUCUGUUUCGUAAUAUUUAUCAUAUUUUAUAUUUUUUAAAAAAAUUAUUAAAUUUAUUUAAAUUCUCUAAAAAAAACCAUUGAAUUUUUAAAAUAAUAAUUAUUGAUAAUAUAAAAAGAGUAAAUAUGAAGAACAAUGAUUUAUUAUUUUUUAAAAUGAUAAAUAUAAUAAAUAUUUUACAAUAAAUUAUUUUUUUAAAUGUAAUAAAUAUUGUGGAGGGAAGGUAAUAAUAAAUUUGUAUCAUAAAAUUGAAAAUUGGUGGAAGUGGAAUUAUGCAUGCCUUCAAUUAAGUGUAAAAGCUGCCUCAGAUGUUUUUUUUUUCCUUUUUUUUAGAAUAAUCUCAUAUGGUAAAAUUGAAAAUAUGGUAAAAGUAAAAAGUUUGAAAGCAAAAUGAUAUGGAAAAAAAAAAAAGUAAAGAAAAAGAUUUUUAAAUUUUCCUGGGCCCACAUAAUGGCAAUCUCUUCAAAUCGGGAGGAAUAUGACUUGAAAAUGAUGAAAGUUUCAUAUUGAUACAAAAUUAUGAUGUACCUUUUCUUAUUAUAUGUCUAUAAAUAUAUAACAAUAACUUUAUAUAUAAUUUAAACAUACUUGCAUAUAUUCUUUCCAUCCAAAAAGAAAAAAUAAAAAAGAAUUAAUUUCUUAUCAUUAUCUUCUUUUUUAUCUAAUCCAAAUAUGAUGUCUCAUUAUAUCAUCGAAUUAUUUCAGUUGCAAAUAAUAUGUAUACUUAAAUUGAAGCAGCAUGAUUUUAACUUAAAAACAACUCGUUAGAUUUAUCGAGCAAUUUUUUUAUAGAGUCGAAUUUCAAACGGUUUGACUAAUUUAUAGAGCCAUAUUUUUUUUAAUUGCUUGAAGAACCGUGCAUAAAUUCGGUGCAAAAUUAAUUUUUAUUUAUUUAUUUUUAAAUUCAUUUAGUUGAAAACUCAUAUUAGAAUUGUAAUCGAUUUUCAUUUUAUAUAUUUUAAACUUUAGUUUUCAAAAAUUGCAUUAUUUUUCUGUAAACCUCUCUGAAAUCUCAUUUAUAUUAAAAUUUUGGUUCUUAAUUUUUUUUUUUAAAAAAAAGAAACAGACCUAAAAUAUGUAAAAUAAAUUUAUGAGAAAAUUUAUGUAUAAUACCUUUAUCAACGGGGUCUUAUCUGUAUUACAUUUCCGACAAGCAGCCGAUAAUGCUAUCAAAAUGUCAAUCAGUCUUUAUGAUUUUUUUUUUUUUUAAUAAAAUGUUGUCACCUCGUACGGAAAAGAUUUUCCAAAGACGUCUCAUAUCAUUCACUACCGUUUUGUUGUUUCUGCAAAUAAAGAAAUUAGUGGUCAUUUAAAUUUUGUUAUUUUAUUAAUAAUAAUAAAAAUACCUUUUCAUAUUUUUUGCACAUAUCAAUUAAGAGAUGAUGGGAGAUGAUUUUAAUAUAUUGCAAGAUUAUUCUUGUACUUUAAAUUUCGAGUAAAUAUUUUAAAUUUUAAAUAUUUUAUUUGAUCGAGUAUUACAAAUUCUUUAUAAAUUUAUAAGUCUUGGUAUAAUUAUUUAUAUUAAAUUUCUUAACAUAUUGCAUAUACAUACAUAUCUUUGAUAUAUUUAUUAGUAUAUCAACAUUAAUUACUGUUAAAAGAAUGUAAAUUAAUUAAAAAAAUAUCCUAUAAUUAGAAAUAAAGAAAUAGUACGAUUUCUUUAUGUGGCGGAAGGCCGCGGGAAAUGAUUUUGCUCUUUUUUUUUUUUUUUUUUUUGAGAAGAUAAUGAUUCACAUUUGCAUAAAACUGAUCGGAUAGGUUAAAGUUCUGACAAGUUGGACAAAAACGACACCGCAAGGACAAUAAUUGUGAAACCCACUGCCUUAUCUUUUUUUACUAAUAAAAAAGUAUAUGGCCCAAUCCAAUUUCGAUUCGCCACAUUUUAUACAUCAUGUACGUCCAACAUAUUUUUCCUUCUCACCAAAUUAUUUGGUUUCAUUAAAACCUAUCUUUAAAACUACUACAUUCUCAAGUUUUUCACCCUACCUUCAUUUUUUUUACUGAAGUAUUCACUCAACUGAGGAAUGUUUGAACUUUAAGAAGCCAAGUGUUUAAUUGAUAUUAAAAUUUUAUACAAGAUUUUAACAAACAGUUAUAUCAAUAUAAAAUUUUAUUUAAAUUUCAAUAUAAAAUUUUAUGAAUUGUAUUUUUAUUUAAAUUUUAUUUAUAAAAUUAAGAGUUUGAAAAUUUAGAAUUGCUACUUGAGAGAACUUUAUCUUAAUAUUAUCACAUCCAUACACCUUGGAUUUAAAGACAUGAAUGAAAAAAAAAAAAUUUCUUUGAAACUUUAUAAUAAUUUUUUCCAAAUAUAGAAAUGUAAUUUCAAUAAAAGCUUGUAGAAUUCAUAAUAAUUUCCCAAAAAAAUUAUAGAAAAACUUAAUUGUUAAUCUUAACCACAGUUUGAAGCUAUUCAAGUUGUUAAAAAUCUCACAUCAACGGUAUAUAUGUGGCACUUUUUAAGUAGUUUUUAGUCAAAACGAUAAGUACUAUUUUUUAUAUUGCUCGGUUACAUAAUGUUUGAAUUAACUUUUAAAAAUUAAUAAUCUUUCACAUAAAAGUUAAUAAUUUUUAGUCAAGACAAUUAAUGUUGUUGAACAGACACAUAAAAUCUACAAAGAAUAUACAAAAGUGAUAAAUUAUCUAUCUAAUUGGUUGAUAUUAAUUUUUUAAUUUUAUUACAACAUAAGUUUAAAUAAGCCCAAGUCACAUUGUUUUUACCUCAUGGGUUGUCGCCUCCGAAACGUGUUAGUCCACGGUUACUUUCAGAAGCAUUUAUAGCCGUAGGAUUAGGAUUGGUGUUCCGUUGGAAACAGGUCUGAGUUUAUUUUUGUUAAAUUUUAAUGGACGAUGCACAAAUUUGAACCGAUAAAAAGGCGGUCUACAUCCUACCCGAUAGGACAAUCACUUUGUCCUCUAUGAGAAUAAUUUCAGCCUGACAUGUGGAUAAGACUUGUUAAAUUCUAACACCACAUCAGAAUACGUUGGUCCCACCUCUGUACUAAUGUAUUAAAAGCCAACCCUGAAAAAAGACAAAAUUUAAUGCAUGUGGCCAAUAAAGCUAUUACAACGUGGUUUAUUUAGAAAUGCAAACAGCAGAGAUUUUUCUGUGGACCUUCAAACAGGUAAUGACUUCUCUCUUGGACCAAUGGUUGUUCUUUAUGCAUUUAUUGCGACUAGUCCAUCACGUGAAAAUUCAAAAAUAUGUCCAUUUCAAGACACGUGUAUGCAUGCGGCAACACGAGAUGCCCAGGAGCUAUCAGCUAAUCCAUAACUUUCCCGGUUUUGGUUCGAAGUCCCCCCCAACCCGAAUGUUAUUGGAUCCAGGUUGGUUUUGGGUUUGAUUUUAUUUUUCGUUGUUUCAAAUUUUAUUUAUUUUUUAAAAAUAAUUUAUCUUUUUUGAAAAUAUAUUUCAAGCAGCUUACUACUUCUGGCCACAAAUAUUUUUAUUCAACAACAUGAGUCGCUUUGAGAAUAUCCUGAAAUUAUUAAUAAGAUUUUUUUUUUCUUAUUUCUAUUAUUUUCUAAAGGGUAAGUUAAUCAAAUGAAUGAAUAUUUAUUUUAAUUUAAGAGAAUUAAUUAUUUUUUUAAUCAUCACUGUAUCAUAACGUUAAAUAAUUUAUGGACGGAGGGAAUAUUUGGUUGUAGAAAUGAUAAACUUGAAAUUCAAAAAAUUAUUGUUAAGAAAAAAUGUAUGAUAUGAUAAAUUGUGAUAAUGACAAAGGUCAGUGGUUGUGGAAUAGUAAGCGCUAAACGCGGUUGCCGAUAACUGACGCUGAUUGAAAUUGAUCAACAAUGGUCACUUUUCAUCAUCAACAUAUUACUAAAUCUAUGUUGAUAAGAUUAUAGUAAUUGUGUUAAUUUUUUUGUAAAAUAUUUUUUUAAAUAAAAAUUUAUUUCUUUUAAAAUAACUUAACUUUCAAUUUGAUACAAAAUAUUUUUUAUUGAUUGAUUUUUUUGUCAUAUUAAAUAUAAGAAUUAAAAAAUAAAAAAUGAGUAAAGCUACAAAUUAAAAAAAAAAAAAAACAAUAUGCCCUAUCUUGUAUUGUUUCACCUCAAUUAUUUUAUCAUUUGUUUAAUUCAACUGAUGCUCACAAAUUUGUACGAAGCCAUUAAAAUUGCAACUUUUGAAUCUCAGCUGGUCGAUGAUGAAGUCCACGCCAAUUGAAUUGAAGGAGAUAAAGACGAUGUUGGUGCUAUAAACAUUCCAGAUUGGACAUGUGAAUAUGUGACGUGGAAAAUAAGGUUGCCAAUUGCCCAUGUCAACAUGAUAGGAUGCACCGACAUGUGGCCAAAUAUAUAAUUUAAGAAUUCUUUUAAAGGAAAAUUAUAAAGCUUCCUGACUUUUGUAAAUAAUUUUGUGAUUUCUGAACUUUACUUUUUAAUUUUAUGGUCUUUUGAAUUUCAUUUUUUUACUUAUUACCAUGAUAUUAAUUUACUUUUCAAUCUACAAGUUUAAUAUUGUUAUAAAAAAUAAAAUUAAAGAAAUUAUAGGGUAAAAAAAAGUUAAAUUUAAAAAUUAUAAGAUAAUUUUCAAAAUUCUGAACAUAACAAUAUAUUUUUUUUUAAAUUAAGGAUUAACUUAUAUAACCCGUGAUCAAUUCAUUAUCUUUUUAAUAAUUUUUAAAAAUUAUUAUUCUAUUUGUUUCGGUAAAAAAACUUGAUGAAAAAUAGUUUUUAUAUGAUUUAUUUUUCAUUAUUUAGUUGUGAUAUUUUUCAAAGUCUUUAUCUCAUAAGACCAUACAAAAUAUUACAAAAAAUAGAAAUGGAGCAUAAUUUAAAAACUUUAUUAUUAAAUAUGAGAAGAAUGCAAAAAAAUAUAUAUAUAUAUAAAUUAUAAAAGACGCUGAUGAAAAUAAAGGGAUAACUAAUACAUAUUUUCUUCAAUGAUGUAAUUUCUUUAUCAUUUUCAUUUCUUUAAGCGACACAUAAUACCAUAAAUAUAAUACGUUUGUGAAUCUCAUCUCCUUGGACAAUGAUUUUUUCUUUCUUUUGAUUCCUGUUCUUUUGUUUGUUAUUAUCCAUCAAUAAUAUAUAAGUCAAAAUUCUUAUUAUACGUUGCAAAAAUUACUAAUAAAAAAAUAAAACAAUAAAAACAUAAUAUCUCAAUGACGAUUUUUCCUUCUAAUUUCAGAAUAUAUAUAUAUAUAUAUAUAUAUAUAUAUAUAUUUAAAAGGAACAAUCUAGAGUUUUUUAUUAUUAUUUUUUUUGUUCUCUUUUUAUGGGACAUAUUUGAUUUGCAUAAUAUGGUGAAACAUGGAGGACGCACACGUAAAAAACCAAGAAGUGGAUGUAAGCAUCAAUGCAGGCUCUAUUUAUUGGACGAUGUUGAUAGGUGGGUCCCAAACCUGUCAAAAGAUUGUCUUGUCUACUUUAAUUUGGAUAGUGGGACCUGCGAAUGCUAGAAAAGGACGUUCGCUUCACGCGUUUUAUUCUGCACGUUUCAAAGAGUCUCUCAUUUUUAAUUUCAAAAUACACCGCACACCGGCAGCAAUCAUGGUCCUAAGCACUACGAGAUAGAUAUUUCCUUUUUUUUUUUUUUUUUUUUUUUUAAAUUCCUCUGUCCCGAUUGAAAAAAGAUGGAGGGAUAUGCUUCUAUUUAGAAAUUUAACUAUCUUAAACGAAUAAUGUAAGGAAUAUUGGAUAUUCCGAAAGAAUAUGCUUUUACCCAUAGUUGGUUAAUUAUUUCUGUAGCUAUUAGCAAUUUUAAUAACAUUUAGCUGAUUGAUUAAUUAGUAAUUGGCUAACUAUUUGAGUAGUUUUUUUAUAAAACAUUAACAAUUAAACGUUAUAUAGGGUCUAAUAUUUUAUAAAACGUUAUUUUAAUCUAUAAAAGAUAUUUCAAACACUAAAUUACCAAACAUUAUAAAAAAUAAUUUCACUAGUUGCUAUGCUCAACUUAUUUAUAAAAAUAUUGUCGAACACAGGCUUACAAAGCCCACUUGGGCUGACAAUAUUUAAUUCUAAUUCAGUAUAUUGAAAAUACCUAUAGUUAAUAUCAAAAGGAAAAAAAAAAAAAAUUAAAUCCUUGUUUUCUCUCAUUUUUUCUCCCAAAUCCAUUGUUGACGAUAAACUUUUUUUUCCAAUUUUUUAUCGGUUUCUUUAAAAAUUUUUCAAAGAAGAGGUAUUUCUUUAGUGAAUUUCGUUAAUUUUGUGGAAAUUUUAUAUUUUAUUGUUUGAUGUUAUUUUAAUUUUUAGUUACUAUUUUUAUUGUGAGUAAAUAAAAUUAUACUGGGAAUUUAUAUUUAAUGGUCACAAUCAGUACAAUACGACUCUUAUGAUUAUUGUUUAAGGAUAAGUAAUUAUUUAAAUAGGCAUGUAUAACCAAUAACGUCUUGGAUUGGUGGCUAAGGCUGAGAUAUCCGGCAGUUAGUCUACGUUUGGAUAUAUUGGCAGAAAAUAUAGGAGGAAUAAAAAUCGAAACACUUUGGGAACGAAGAAAAUAUGAGAGGAAAAUAAAUAUUUUGCCGACAUGUCAUUUUCUCUCUAAUUUAGAAGGAAAGUUGAACGAAAAUAAUUUAAAAAAUUAUAAUUUCUUUUGCUACUUUCACUUUUUUUAUACUUAGCAUUUUAAGUCAAGUGUAUCAUGUAUCAUAACAUGUUUAUUAUUUUAAACUUUCCAGGUAGGUAUACGACAUAUUAGGCAAUUAAAAAUUUUCAAACUGAUUUUGGUCCAUUUAACAUGAACUUUUACCGAUUUUGUGGAUUCCAACUCAAAAAUUUGAACCAAUAGUUGCAAUUCAAUUUCAGUUCAUCUACAAUACAUUUUGAUUCUGAUUCAAACCAAAUCAAACUGCAUUAUUCGCGCCAGAGGAAAAUGAAGGAUGCUAAAUGUAAACUUUUAGUGUUAUGCAAACAAUUAUUUAGGGAUUUUUAUAUGAAUUUUGGAAAAAAAAAAAAGGCAUGUAUGGAUGGUGCACCUUCAAUGCAACAACAGAAAUGCAGGGAAAAUAAGUUGGAGAGCAGAGUGGGGAGGUUUUCAUACUGAAGAUCACGUGUAAAUUGGCUUUUGAGUCAUCGAAGUUAAACAAAAGUCUUCUUUUUCCAGUAAAAUAUUUACAUAAAUAAAUGCAGACCACGAUUGUCUUCUUCUUUCAAACCACAUAAUUGAGAAGGAUGAUGGACUAUACUAUCAACCAUGGGACCUCCAUAUCUUAUAAUUAUUAUAAUUAAAUUUAUUUGUAGGGUUCCACCUCAUCAUUCAUCAAUUCAAAACACGUUCUUACGGUUCCUGUUCCUGAUAAGUGAUAAGGAUCGUAUAUUUGGACCUUUAGCUUUUUUCUAUCGAUCAAAAAUCACGUGUCACCUAAAGCUCGUGACCACUCUAUUUCAGGUUGAAAAGUCUAAAAGGAUAUUUUGGUAAUUUACUUUAGUGCAUUAAUUUACUUGUGGUUAAAUUUAUUUAUGGGCAUUUAGUUAACUUUUAAAGUACGACAAAAGAUCACGUUCGUUUGUUCACGUUUUAGUGGUGCAGUCGUAAUCAUUGCCUUUGCUGUACUCUCCUCCUUAAAAAAAAAAAAUAAAAAUAAAAAUAAAAAAAUAAAUCGGAAUUGAUUUAAAGAAUAAUUAACAUAAAAAUUAAAAGCAGAAAAAAUUAAGUUUUAUGAAAAAUAUUAAGGUAUAAGCAUUAAUAUUUUGUAGAAAAAUCAUAAUCCAUAAAUUUUAAUAGUUUGUUGAAUAAAAUUAAAUUUUAUAAUCUCAGUAAACAAUCAUUAUUUUAUUUAUUAAAAUAAUAAAAAAAUUUAAAUUUUAAAAUUGAAUUUAUAAAAAUAAUUUUUAGUCAAUUUAUAUUAGAAAAUGAAAUUAAGAAAAAAAACCUAAUAAUGACUAAAUGGCGUCCUCAUUACCGCCUAAUUUUGUAAAUAAAAUUUUUAUGUCCUAAAAAAAUGAUAAUUAAUUAUUUUAAAAAAAACAUCAUUAUCUUUAUAAAGAUAAUUAAAGAAUAUUUUUAAAUUGAUAAAAUAUUUAAAAAAAUAAAUAUGAUUUUAUAUGUUGAUACUUUUGUUAAAACAUAUUAAUAACAUGUCUAGAUGCACCCCCCAAAUGCCCAAGCCCAACAUUAUCGUUCGGCCCAACUGGGUUAACCAAAUUAUUUUAUUUAUCCUCUAAAAUUUUUAGAUAUUGAUUAGGGAAGUAAUUAAAUCAUUUGAAUAAAAUACUUUUUAAAUUAACUAAAAUAUCUUUUUAUUUAAUAAUUCAAAUCUCAAUAAUUCUCCCUAUUAAUAUAUUAUUAAAUCAAAAAAGAAAAAGAGAAAUAAUAAUAUUUGAAAGAAUUAAAUAAUUUUUCAAAAGAACGACUAAAUAAAAACUAAAAAACAAUAAAUAGUGGAGGGAGGGAUAACUUAUAUUCAAUAGUAAAAUAAUUUCUCGUAAAUUUUAAAACAAGAGUGAAAUGGUUUUAAAACAAGAGGGAGGGAUAACUUAAUAUUUUAAAGGGAUGGUCUUGCUUCCAUUCGCUAUAUGCAUUUCUUUAUGAAUUAAAUCAAUUAAAAAUAAUUUUUUUUAAUUGAAAUAUAUAUAUAUAUAUAUAUAUAUAUAUUCAAUUAUUUAUUGAAGGAAAAUGGAUUAAUUAAAAAUAAUUUAUAAAAUAUUUCGAUUUUAUAAAAUAAUCCUGUUUUUAAAUCCUGACAGGAAACGUGGCACAAAUGAGAUUUUGACGCGCUUUUACGGAGGGAAGGGAUUGCAAGAGGCUGAUCUCCCUAUAAAAAACGCACCAGAGUAACACCUCAAACAUCCCAUCUAACUCUUCACUCUUAAUCUUCUUCUCCUUCUUCUACCAACACUCUCUAAUAAGGAAAAUAUCAAAUGGCUAUGGCAUCGGUGGUGGUAUUGCUUGGGCUGUUGGCAAUGGCGGUCCAACCGUCCAUACAACAGGAUAUACUAAAUCCUGUGGUUGGCUCUUCAAAGAAGAUCAAUGCAGUCUCUGCUUUUGGGCUUAUUGUGACUUCCAGCACUGCUGAGAAAGCACUUAACGACUCUGGGAUUUUCACUGUUGACUCUUAUGUUGACAUGAAAGGUAUAUUUAAUAAGUAAUUAACCUUUCUUUUAAAUAUUUAAUAAAACUCUUUAACAUAACUAAGCUCUAUAAUUAUUAUCAUAUAGGAAGGAGAUAUUUGAUGGGAACUAUCUCUGGAGCUAAUGUUGUUUACGUAAACUCUGCCAAUCGUCCAAUGGUAAGAUAUUUUUACACAUCCAUCUCCGUCCAUUAAUGGCAUUCUUAAAUUUUCUUUAGUUUCUUAAUUGACAUUUGUUAUACAUAUACAGGUAAACGUGGGGUUAACACUGCAACAAAUGGUUGAACUAUUUAAUAUUCGAGGAAUAAUUCACUUCGGCAGUGCUGGAGGAAUCAGGAAUUCCUUGACUGUUGGAACUGUGGUUGCUCCUGCUCUUAUUGGCCACACUGGAGUUUGGACUUGGAACAAACAUGGAGAAUCAAAUGGGCAACUCGUGUUUGGAAAAUUCAAUAGUCCUGAAAAUGGUGAUAAUUUGUUGGGAAGUGUUGAGUUUGGAGGUUCUGAGGUUUACAGACAAGGAAGCUUGGAGAAGAACCAAUUCUGGCUUGCCCCUAAUGCAAGAUGGUUAUGGCUUGCCUCUAAAAUUGAGGUAUAUAUGUAAUUACUAAUUAGUAUUCUAAAUUUCCCCUUUAAUGCUUAACCUUUGUGUUAAAAAUUACUUGCAAUUUGAUAAUUUGUCAUUGCAGGGUGUUGUGACUGGACUGAAGGCUGCAAGUUCUGAUAUCUACGUUAAGAACUAUGCAUACAGAGAGUUCUUAUGGUAUACAUUUAAGGCCUCAACUGUCGAUACGACUAGCU
This 10736-nucleotide long non-coding RNA is filed under the name Jatropha curcas. RNAcentral's name for it is "long non-coding RNA (JCUR_LNC001428)". The record is from RNAcentral. Lineage: Eukaryota; Viridiplantae; Streptophyta; Magnoliopsida; Malpighiales; Euphorbiaceae.